Molecule: ribosomal RNA, 701 nt
Filed under: uncultured archaeon
Lineage: Archaea
Description: bacterial SSU rRNA
Rfam family: Archaeal small subunit ribosomal RNA
Source: RNAcentral
GGUCACUGCUAUCAGUAUUCGAUUAAGCCAUGCGAGUCAAAUGUUUUUCGUAAACAUGGCGUACUGCUCAGUAACACGUGGAUAAUCUGCCCUAAGGUUAGGUAUAACUCCGGGAAACUGGUGAUAAUCCCUAAUAUACCAUAGAUACUGGAAUGUUCUGUGGUCAAAAGCUCCGGCGCCUUAGGAUGAAUCUGCGGCCUAUCAGGUUGUAGUGGGUGUAGUGUACCUACUAGCCGACGACGGGUACGGGUUGUGAGAGCAAGAGCCCGGAGAUGGAUUCUGAGACAUGAAUCCAGGCCCUACGGGGCGCAGCAGGCGCGAAAACUUUACAAUGCGGGAAACCGCGAUAAGGGGAUACUGAGUGCCAGCAUCUUAUGUUGGCUGUCCGCAUGUAUAAAUAGCAUGUGUUAGCAAGGGCCGGGCAAGACCGGUGCCAGCCGCCGCGGUAACACCGGCGGCCCGAGUGGUGGCCACUAUUAUUGGGUCUAAAGGGUCCGUAGCCGGUUUGAUCAGUCUUCCGGGAAAUCUGACAGCUCAACUGUUAGGCUUCCGGGGGAUACUGUCAGACUUGGGACCGGGAGAGGUAAGAGGUACUACAGGGGUAGGAGUGAAAUCUUGUAAUCCUUGUGGGACCACCAGUGGCGAAGGCGUCUUACCAGAACGGGUCCGACGGUGAGGGACGAAAGCUGGGGGCACGAACC